RNAcentral lists this ribosomal RNA (204 nucleotides) under uncultured bacterium. RNAcentral describes it as "partial 16S ribosomal RNA". It matches the Rfam family "Bacterial small subunit ribosomal RNA", at positions 1289 to 1500 of the family's 1533-position model. The record is from RNAcentral.
CAGUUCGGAUCGGAGUCUGCAACCCGACUCCGUGAAGCUGGAUUCGCUAGUAAUCGCGCAUCAGCCAUGGCGCGGUGAAUACGUUCCCGGGCCUUGUACACACCGCCCGUCAAGCCAUGGGAGCCGGGGGUGCUUGAAGUGCGUCGCCGCAAGGCGCGCCCUAGAGCAAAACCGGUGACUGGGGCUAAGUCGUAACAAGGUACC